AGUGAACGCUGGCGGUAGGCCUAACACAUGCAAGUCGAACGGCAGCACAGUAAGAGCUUGCUCUUACGGGUGGCGAGUGGCGGACGGGUGAGGAAUACAUCGGAAUCUACUUUUUCGUGGGGGAUAACGUAGGGAAACUUACGCUAAUACCGCAUACGACCUACGGGUGAAAGCAGGGGAUCUUCGGACCUUGCGCGAUUGAAUGAGCCGAUGUCGGAUUAGCGAGUUGGCGGGGUAAAGGCCCACCAAGGCGACGAUCCGUAGCUGGUCUGAGAGGAUGAUCAGCCACACUGGAGCUGAGACACGGUCCAGACUCCUACGGGAGGCAGCAGUGGGGAAUGUUGGACAAUGGGCGCAAGCCUGAUCCAGCCAUACCGCGUGGGUGAAGAAGGCCUUCGGGUUGUAAAGCCCUUUUGUUGUGAAAGAAAAGCAGCAGGUUAAUACCCCGCUGUUCUGACGGUACCCAAAGAAUAAGCACCGGCUAACUUCGUG
This 492-nucleotide ribosomal RNA is filed under the name uncultured bacterium. Its description in RNAcentral is "partial 16S ribosomal RNA". It matches the Rfam family "Bacterial small subunit ribosomal RNA", at positions 29 to 507 of the family's 1533-position model. The record is from RNAcentral.